Parasteatoda tepidariorum (common house spider) is the source of this 531-nucleotide non-coding RNA. The record is from RefSeq and is a predicted model, not a curated record. NCBI's taxonomy places the organism in Eukaryota, Metazoa, Arthropoda, Arachnida, Araneae, Theridiidae.
UUCUUCGUAGCCUCCAGUUUUUUCUGAAAAGCCUAAAGAUUCUAAAAGAAGAAAAAUUUCCUUGCCUUACCGAGACGCAUUCCCAGAAAGUGAGAAAAGUUCUCCGGAAAUGUGGAAAAAAUAUCUUUUAGAGGUUAAAAGUUUAUUGGGUGUUACAGAAGAUUAUGCUAAGUUUUGUACUGCUGUGAAAGAAUUUAAAGUUUCUAAGGAUGUGGAAAAAUUUGCUUUCUGUAUGACAACUGUUUUUUCUCAGUUUCCCAAUAAAUCUAAAUAUUUAGAAACUGCAUCUUUACUAGUUGGUAGUCAGAAUAGAAGCAAAUUUCUCAGAUUAUGUUCCUGAUAACUGGUAUUUUUAGGAAAGAAAUUGCAGCAUGUGAUAGAUCACUUAAAAUACUGCUGACUUUUAAAGAGUGUUGUCGGAAAUGUGGCUGGACCACUGCAAUAUAUUUUAUAAUAGACUUAAAUUCAUUUUUAAAAUAAAUCAUAUUUUGUAUAUAUUUUUGUAUAUAAUAAAAUUGUAAAAUUUUUUCA